AGAUUCCUACGGGAGGCAGCAGUGGGGAAUAUUGCACAAUGGGCGAAAGCCUGAUGCAGCCAUGCCGCGUGUAUGAAGAAGGCCUUCGGGUUGUAAAGUACUUUCAGCUGUGAGGAAGGGGGUGAGCUUAAUACCCUUAUCUCUUGACGUUAGCUGCAGAAGAAGCACCGGCUAACUCCGUGCCAGCAGCCGCGGUAAUAAUU
This 203-nucleotide ribosomal RNA is filed under the name uncultured bacterium. RNAcentral describes it as "partial 16S ribosomal RNA". It matches the Rfam family "Bacterial small subunit ribosomal RNA", at positions 333 to 528 of the family's 1533-position model. The record is from RNAcentral.